GAAAAAUAGGCGGAAAACCGAAAAAUGAGUCGGAUAAUAAGGACAUAGCCGAAACCACAGAAUGCGGGUGAGAACAUUCCUCCUCAUUUUAGGAUUUACUCUUGAACUUUCUUUGAGCUUUCAAGUCCACCACAAUCACAGAUAUGUUGUCCCUGCUUCCCUUUUGGAGGGCAAGCGUUGAAAGGUAGGCAGCCGCUUCCUGAGCUGCUGGAUCAACUCCUGCACCCCUCUCUGCAAGAGCUGUAACUCCGUUCUUUUUGUGCCAGAG
This 268-nucleotide long non-coding RNA is filed under the name Prunus persica (peach). RNAcentral's name for it is "long non-coding RNA (PPER_LNC002945)". The record is from RNAcentral. Lineage: Eukaryota; Viridiplantae; Streptophyta; Magnoliopsida; Rosales; Rosaceae.